This 254-nucleotide ribosomal RNA is filed under the name uncultured bacterium. RNAcentral describes it as "partial 16S ribosomal RNA". It matches the Rfam family "Bacterial small subunit ribosomal RNA", at positions 524 to 776 of the family's 1533-position model. The record is from RNAcentral.
UACGUAGGGUGCGAGCGUUGUCCGGAAUUAUUGGGCGUAAAGAGCUCGUAGGCGGUGUGUCGCGUCGGCCGUGAAAACCUGGGGCUCAACUCUGGGCGUGCGGUCGAUACGGGCAUCACUUGAGUUCGGCAGGGGAGACUGGUAUUCCUGGUGUAGCGGUGAAAUGCGCAGAUAUCAGGAGGAACACCGGUGGCGAAGGCGGGUCUCUGGGCCGAUACUGACGCUGAGGGGCGAAAGCAUGGGUAGCGAACAGG